GAAAUUGGAUUGUGUUAUUUGGCGUCAUUUGGGAUGCAGAAGCACGUUCUCUCCUAUUUCCCCGCUUAUUUAAGCGGCGUUUCGCAGCCACGCGCGAAAGGCAGAUUUACACCUUCCUGCCAGACAGCCCGAAGGCAGCGGGAGCUCAGGACCGAUCUGAUUUGCGGGGGGAACAGCUGAAUAUUCCCCAUCCUCUGCAUAACAACACACAUCCCUCGUGCCCAGCGAGCCAUCCUGAUACAACUCGGCCUUCAGGUUUCGGCAGCGCGGCCGCACUGCAAACUUCGGCAUGUUUGCCUCUGCCCCCAGCAGCCCCACGAGCCCCAUCUCUGCACCCCUUUUUGAAGUUUGCACCGACUGCAGUGAAAGAAAUGCAAUCAAAUCGCAAUGGAAUUGCAGUGGGAUGGGGAAGCAGCGUCUGUCCGCCGUCCCUGUGGUGCAAAUUGCCUCAAUCCACACUCGUCUCCGCCUGGCUGGGGGAAAGGGUGAGCUGCCCUUCUGCACUGGUUUUGGGGUGGAUUUCAGGUUUUUUGGGGCAGCUGGGAGCAGCAGGAGAGGCUCCUGGAGGGGUACUGCCCAUGUCCCAUCCCCGCACCUACAGCAAGUUCACGGCCUCGAGCUGCCAGCUCUGAUCCUCCCUGUGGGGUAAUGAAGUGCUCCCCAAACAUACCUCCAGAAGCCCAAGUGGGGCAUCGUGAACACGCAAUAUUAUGUUUUUCCCUAUAUUUAUUUACGCUUCCCAGACUGCUGUUUUAUAGCACAAAGCUGCCAUGGCACCCCAAAUCCUUCCUAUUAGGCAAAAGCAAGAAAGCAUUUCUUUUAAUAUUGUUUUCUGUCACCUUUGAGUACAGUUUCACUGAGCUUUUCCUGCAGCACUGUUUAUCAGUGAGAAAUAAAUGCCGUUCCCAAUUGCAUAGACUGCAUUUCUGAGUCUGCAAUUCCAGCUAUGUCUGCAUGCACUUGAUCUUCGUUAGUAAUAAUAAUAAUUAAUAUGAUGGUAUUGACAGACUGCUCUGCAAUUAGCGCUGUCCAAAGAUGGCAUUUUCCACUAAGCAAAAUUGCCGGAGGAAAAUGAAAGUGCUGCAAGGACCGCUCGGUUUAACAGAGCCUUGCGCCAAGGGUUACGUUUCCACCCAGAGACUGCGCAGAGAAAGAAAAUAUCCUAAGGAAAGGCCAAGGAAGGAGCUUGGGCUCCACCGUGCCCUGAGCUGCCCACCAAGGAGCUGCCUUCCACACCAUCCCCAUUUCUGUCCGUAUGUUGGGCAGCUUCAUCCCAUCGGCGCGGUGCUACGUGAGAGCCCGGCACAAAGCACGGGGAGGCCGCAGCCGCAGGGCAACGGCACCGAGCUGUGCUCAGCACGGGGCUUGGAACCCCCAAAUCACCUGAAAGCUGCCCAGCAUUUCUGCAACUACAAGUCUUCGUGUUGGUCAUUUCAUUUUCUUAAGUGGUUUUUAUGGCUAAGAACUCAUCUGCGACCACCGCGUAAAGGCGGUAUAUUUUUUUCCCCAUGGGAAGAGAUGCCACGGUAGUCAAAUAGAAAUGUAUAAAUGAUCCAAUACAACAGCUCCUGGAUUUCCUUCACAUUCACCAUCGCACAGCUUCCCAAAAUCCCUUCCUCAAUGGCCUUUAUCCUUGUAGGUGCUCUGUUCCCCAUUUUAAACAGUCUCCUAAUGUUCGAGUGAAUGCAAAAGGCAUUGGCAAGGCCAAGCCUUCGCCGACGCCUGACUUUCACUUUGAUAACACCUAAAAAUAAUGCAAAAGACUGAGAAAAUCCCACGGGACAAGAUGGGAAAUGUGCUCUCUAAAACGCAGCUUAAAAAGUGCAAUCCUGAAAUUUAUCGGCCGACGAAUGCGAGCCGUUCGCCUUUCGUUUUGUUAACUCCAAAGCCAACAGCGAUACCUCCACGAAGGGACCGUGGGCAACAGAAAGAGAUUUAUGAGGGCAGCCCCUCGGCCCCACUCUUCUCCCCAUUUCUCCUUUCACUCUAUCCAAAACACAACAGCAAUAUGUUAAGCCUUGUGGGGCAAUUUCUUUGGUUUUAGGAUAGGGCUGCUCAUGGAAAUUCAGGUGUCGGCCGCAGAUGGGGAUCGGCUCAAGGGAUCCCGGACGGGAUUUUGGCAAUGGGAACUCUAAAAUCUAAUUCUGGGGCACUCAGCUGUGCUGAGCCACCCGGGACACCCCAAAAAAGCCAAACCAGGUGCAAGCGGCUGUAAGAAUGAAAGUGGAUGUGUUUCUUCAUCUCUACCACGUUUUCCCAGUCUCUAACCGACCCUCCCAAAAACUACAAAGAGGACACAGCACAAAGCAGCCCAAGGGCGAGAGCUGAGAUUCACAUACUGAACUUCUCUCAUGCAUUCAGUCCCUAAAUUUCCCCCUUCUGCACCAAAACCAAGCCCGGGAAAGGGCUGCCUAUGUGCUCCUGCGGACUGCAAUGGGAUGGCCCCAAAAUGCCCACGCAGCUAUUUGCAGAGCAAACCCUUCCACCGGAGCUCGGCACGUGAUUUCUGGCCGCUCCAGGCCUACCUCCAUUUAACUUCUGCAUUUUUUCCUUUGGAACCGUGUCCCUUGAGGACUUUUUGCAACGGCUGCAUUGUGUCCAUCACGGCGCAACCCAUGGGGAACCCCAAAAUUUUGCAUCUCCGACGGAGAUGCAUUCAAAACCCUCCAGAGAGAAGGAUGAGCGGAUAAAGAUUUGGGGAGCACACAGAGUGAAACCCUCCCUUCUCCCUUCUCCCUUCUCCCUUCUCCCUUCUCCCUUCUCCCUUCUCCCUUCUCCCUUCUCCCUUCUCCCUUCUCCCUUCUCCCUUCUCCCUUCUCCCUUCUCCCACCCCAUCCCUGCCUCGGGGCGUUGCGCUCACCGAUGUUGGCAUGCCGGGCGGCUGCGGGUGUCCCUCUGCUCUGCAGGUUGUGCAGCAUGGGGCUGUCGAAGGGCGAAGAAGUCCAAGUGGUGGCCAUUUCAGGGCUCACGUACGCCGGGUAAGGGCUGGAGUAGGAGCUGCCGAAGCCCCGGCUGUAUUGCUCCCUCCCGUUAGCAGAAAGGCUCAGGGAGCUGCUGUAAGCCGCCGCGGCAUCCCGCGAUGAGGUGGAGGGGAUGGGAGUGCUGGUGGAGAAGGAGAAGCGAGGUGACACGGGCGGGUGGGAAGAUCCGGGGUUGUAUGCGGCGCUUUCGGCUCCAGGUUGAGUCCAGAUGGAGUGGCUGGAGACGGGGCUGGCUUGCUGGGAAGAGCCGCUGCUGGGCAGGGGAUGGAUCCUAGAAAACCCAAGGCCGGUUGGGGUGGAGAACUACGUCCGGAGAACCAACUCUUGGAACUGAUUUGAGUUGAACCAACAGAUCCCCCAGGUUGAACCCCUCCGCCGGGCUGAAUUUAGCAGCAGGAGAGAUAACCGGGAGAUAAGGGCUGAUACCCGGCAGGACAGCGGGAGAGCGGCCGAGGGAAGGGGGAGAAGCUGGAAGACGAGUCCUGCAGUGCUUCAGGAGCGGAAACAGAAGAAUUUCGAUGGAGAGCGGUUACAGCUCUGCGAGCAGCACCGCCAGGAGCAGAGAUCUCAAGGAUCCCCUUUGGCUUUGGCUUUCCGAAUGACAACAAAACAGAGCCACGGAAAGCAGAACACGGACCCACGUCCCCGUGCGGGCAAAGCCCCGCAGCGCCGAGCAUCGAAAACGCUGCGGGGGCGAAGGAGCGGACGGGAGGGGGGGGGUGGGGGAAACUGAGCUCCUGUCGUACCCCGAAAACAUUCGUAUAUCUUCACCGUUAUAACUAAAAACGAAAGCAGAAGUCGGGAAUGCGGCGGAGCGCGGGGAAAGUCAAUCGAUCGAUUAGCGAAGAAAUCAAUAAACGAAGGAGUAAAUC
Molecule: RNA transcript, 3853 nt
Organism: Gallus gallus (chicken)
Lineage: Eukaryota; Metazoa; Chordata; Aves; Galliformes; Phasianidae
Exons: 4
Source: RefSeq, a predicted model, not a curated record